RNAcentral lists this ribosomal RNA (532 nucleotides) under Palythoa grandiflora. Its description in RNAcentral is "partial 16S ribosomal RNA". It matches the Rfam family "Bacterial large subunit ribosomal RNA", at positions 1849 to 2418 of the family's 2925-position model. Lineage: Eukaryota; Metazoa; Cnidaria; Anthozoa; Zoantharia; Sphenopidae. The record is from RNAcentral.
AGGGUGAUGCCUGCCCAAUGGUUGUAUCUAAAAGCGGUUGAUAAAAGUCGACCUCGUAAGGACAAUUGAAUGGCCGCGGUAACACUGACCGUGAUAAUGUAGCGUAAUCAAUAGCCAAUUAAUUGUUGGCCAGUAUGAAUGGCGCCACGAAGGCCCCACUGUCUUAAGGAAAUUCCCAGUGAAAUUGAAUUCGUAGUGAAGAUGCUACGUCCAAUUUGUUAGACGAAAAGACCCCGUUGAGCUUUACUGGGGCACUUACACGGCCCCGGCCUUCCCGUGUCCGGGAACCGGCCGAAUUUAAAUGGGUGGUUUAGACUAUGUGGCAGCCCCCCGCCGGGGCAGAUGAAACCCCACUCCCCCAUGUCAAAGGGGCUAACCCCCUCUUGGGGGGGAGAGUGUAAGUAGGACAGUUUGGUUGGGGCGACCGCCUUUUAAAGAGUAACGAAGGUGCGCUUAAGGUGCGCAAUUAAUGACUGAAGCCUGACUGCGAGGGGGACACCCCGAGCAGACACCCCUAAGUCCGCCCGAAGGG